This is a non-coding RNA of Fukomys damarensis (Damara mole-rat), 113 nucleotides long. The record is from Rfam. NCBI's taxonomy places the organism in Eukaryota, Metazoa, Chordata, Mammalia, Rodentia, Bathyergidae.
CUUCACCCUCCUGAACGCACCUGAUCUCAUCUGACCUCAGAAGCUAAGCAGGGUCAGGCCUGGGUAGUACUUGGGUGGGGGACUUGGGCUUCUUUAAAAAAUGAAGUUUAAGU